RNAcentral lists this ribosomal RNA (655 nucleotides) under Staphylococcus pseudintermedius. RNAcentral's name for it is "partial 23S ribosomal RNA". It matches the Rfam family "Bacterial large subunit ribosomal RNA", at positions 2176 to 2832 of the family's 2925-position model. The record is from RNAcentral. Lineage: Bacteria; Bacillati; Bacillota; Bacilli; Caryophanales; Staphylococcaceae.
UUACGUGGAGGCAUUGGUGGGAUACUACCCUAAUUGUAUUGGAUUUCUAACCCGCAGCACUUAUCGUGCUGGGAGACAGUGUCAGGCGGGCAGUUUGACUGGGGCGGUCGCCUCCUAAAGAGUAACGGAGGCGCUCAAAGGUUCCCUCAGAAUGGUUGGAAAUCAUUCAUAGAGUGUAAAGGCAUAAGGGAGCUUGACUGCGAGACCUACAAGUCGAGCAGGGUCGAAAGACGGACUUAGUGAUCCGGUGGUUCCGCAUGGAAGGGCCAUCGCUCAACGGAUAAAAGCUACCCCGGGGAUAACAGGCUUAUCUCCCCCAAGAGUUCACAUCGACGGGGAGGUUUGGCACCUCGAUGUCGGCUCAUCGCAUCCUGGGGCUGUAGUCGGUCCCAAGGGUUGGGCUGUUCGCCCAUUAAAGCGGUACGCGAGCUGGGUUCAGAACGUCGUGAGACAGUUCGGUCCCUAUCCGUCGUGGGCGUAGGAAAUUUGAGAGGAGCUGUCCUUAGUACGAGAGGACCGGGAUGGACAUACCUCUGGUGUACCAGUUGUCGUGCCAACGGCAUAGCUGGGUAGCUAUGUAUGGACGGGAUAAGUGCUGAAAGCAUCUAAGCAUGAAGCCCCCCUCGAGAUGAGAUUUCCCAACUUCGGUUAUAAG